This 2930-nucleotide ribosomal RNA is filed under the name Bacillus amyloliquefaciens. RNAcentral's name for it is "bacterial LSU rRNA". It matches the Rfam family "Bacterial large subunit ribosomal RNA". RNAcentral also lists the same sequence under 10 other names. The record is from RNAcentral. Lineage: Bacteria; Bacillati; Bacillota; Bacilli; Caryophanales; Bacillaceae.
GGUUAAGUUAGAAAGGGCGCACGGUGGAUGCCUUGGCACUAGGAGCCGAUGAAGGACGGGACGAACACCGAUAUGCUUCGGGGAGCUGUAAGCAAGCUUUGAUCCGGAGAUUUCCGAAUGGGGAAACCCACCACUCGUAAUGGAGUGGUAUCCAUAUCUGAAUACAUAGGAUAUGAGAAGGCAGACCCGGGGAACUGAAACAUCUAAGUACCCGGAGGAAGAGAAAGCAAAUGCGAUUCCCUGAGUAGCGGCGAGCGAAACGGGAUCAGCCCAAACCAAGAGGCUUGCCUCUUGGGGUUGUAGGACACUCUGUACGGAGUUACAAAGGAACGAGGUAGAUGAAGAGGUCUGGAAAGGCCCGCCAUAGGAGGUAACAGCCCUGUAGUCAAAACUUCGUUCUCUCCUGAGUGGAUCCUGAGUACGGCGGAACACGUGAAAUUCCGUCGGAAUCCGGGAGGACCAUCUCCCAAGGCUAAAUACUCCCUAGUGACCGAUAGUGAACCAGUACCGUGAGGGAAAGGUGAAAAGCACCCCGGAAGGGGAGUGAAAGAGAUCCUGAAACCGUGUGCCUACAAGUAGUCAGAGCCCGUUAACGGGUGAUGGCGUGCCUUUUGUAGAAUGAACCGGCGAGUUACGAUCCCGUGCAAGGUUAAGCAGAAGAUGCGGAGCCGCAGCGAAAGCGAGUCUGAAUAGGGCGAAUUGAGUACGUGGUCGUAGACCCGAAACCAGGUGAUCUACCCAUGUCCAGGGUGAAGUUCAGGUAACACUGAAUGGAGGCCCGAACCCACGCACGUUGAAAAGUGCGGGGAUGAGGUGUGGGUAGGGGUGAAAUGCCAAUCGAACCUGGAGAUAGCUGGUUCUCUCCGAAAUAGCUUUAGGGCUAGCCUCAAGGUAAGAGUCUCGGAGGUAGAGCACUGAUUGGACUAGGGGCCCCUACCGGGUUACCGAAUUCAGUCAAACUCCGAAUGCCGAUGACUUAUCCUUGGGAGUCAGACUGCGAGUGAUAAGAUCCGUAGUCGAAAGGGAAACAGCCCAGACCGCCAGCUAAGGUCCCAAAGUAUACGUUAAGUGGAAAAGGAUGUGGAGUUGCUUAGACAACCAGGAUGUUGGCUUAGAAGCAGCCACCAUUUAAAGAGUGCGUAAUAGCUCACUGGUCGAGUGACUCUGCGCCGAAAAUGUACCGGGGCUAAACGUAUCACCGAAGCUGCGGACUGUUCUUCGAACAGUGGUAGGAGAGCGUUCUAAGGGCUGUGAAGCAAGACCGGAAGGACUUGUGGAGCGCUUAGAAGUGAGAAUGCCGGUAUGAGUAGCGAAAGAGGGGUGAGAAUCCCCUCCACCGAAUGCCUAAGGUUUCCUGAGGAAGGCUCGUCCGCUCAGGGUUAGUCGGGACCUAAGCCGAGGCCGAAAGGCGUAGGCGAUGGAUAACAGGUUGAUAUUCCUGUACCACCUCCUCACCAUUUGAGCAAUGGGGGGACGCAGGAGGAUAGGGUAAGCGCGGUAUUGGAUAUCCGCGUCCAAGCAGUUAGGCUGGGAAAUAGGCAAAUCCGUUUCCCGUGAAGGCUGAGCUGUGAUGGCGAGCGAAUUAUAGUAGCGAAGUUCCUGAUUCCACACUGCCAAGAAAAGCCUCUAGCGAGGUGAGAGGUGCCCGUACCGCAAACCGACACAGGUAGGCGAGGAGAGAAUCCUAAGGUGAUCGAGAGAACUCUCGUUAAGGAACUCGGCAAAAUGACCCCGUAACUUCGGGAGAAGGGGUGCUCUGUUAGGGUGCAAGCCCGAGAGAGCCGCAGUGAAUAGGCCCAGGCGACUGUUUAGCAAAAACACAGGUCUCUGCGAAGCCGUAAGGCGAAGUAUAGGGGCUGACGCCUGCCCGGUGCUGGAAGGUUAAGAGGAGCGCUUAGCGUAAGCGAAGGUGCGAAUUGAAGCCCCAGUAAACGGCGGCCGUAACUAUAACGGUCCUAAGGUAGCGAAAUUCCUUGUCGGGUAAGUUCCGACCCGCACGAAAGGCGCAACGAUCUGGGCACUGUCUCAACGAGAGACUCGGUGAAAUUAUAGUACCUGUGAAGAUGCAGGUUACCCGCGACAGGACGGAAAGACCCCGUGGAGCUUUACUGCAGCCUGAUAUUGAAUGUUGGUACAGCUUGUACAGGAUAGGUAGGAGCCUUGGAAACCGGAGCGCCAGCUUCGGUGGAGGCAUCGGUGGGAUACUACCCUGGCUGUAUUGACCUUCUAACCCGCCGCCCUUAUCGGGCGGGGAGACAGUGUCAGGUGGGCAGUUUGACUGGGGCGGUCGCCUCCUAAAAGGUAACGGAGGCGCCCAAAGGUUCCCUCAGAAUGGUUGGAAAUCAUUCGCAGAGUGUAAAGGCACAAGGGAGCUUGACUGCGAGACCUACAAGUCGAGCAGGGACGAAAGUCGGGCUUAGUGAUCCGGUGGUUCCGCAUGGAAGGGCCAUCGCUCAACGGAUAAAAGCUACCCCGGGGAUAACAGGCUUAUCUCCCCCAAGAGUCCACAUCGACGGGGAGGUUUGGCACCUCGAUGUCGGCUCAUCGCAUCCUGGGGCUGUAGUCGGUCCCAAGGGUUGGGCUGUUCGCCCAUUAAAGCGGUACGCGAGCUGGGUUCAGAACGUCGUGAGACAGUUCGGUCCCUAUCCGUCGCGGGCGCAGGAAAUUUGAGAGGAGCUGUCCUUAGUACGAGAGGACCGGGAUGGACGCACCGCUGGUGUACCAGUUGUUCUGCCAAGGGCAUCGCUGGGUAGCUAUGUGCGGACGGGAUAAGUGCUGAAAGCAUCUAAGCAUGAAGCCCCCCUCAAGAUGAGAUUUCCCAUUCCGCAAGGAAGUAAGAUCCCUGAAAGAUGAUCAGGUUGAUAGGUCUGAGGUGGAAGUGUGGCGACACAUGGAGCUGACAGAUACUAAUCGAUCGAGGACUUAACCAA